This 210-nucleotide ribosomal RNA is filed under the name uncultured Enterobacterales bacterium. Its description in RNAcentral is "partial 16S ribosomal RNA". It matches the Rfam family "Bacterial small subunit ribosomal RNA", at positions 122 to 334 of the family's 1533-position model. Lineage: Bacteria; Pseudomonadati; Pseudomonadota; Gammaproteobacteria; Enterobacterales. The record is from RNAcentral.
GAAACUGCCUGAUGGAGGGGGAUAACUACUGGAAACGGUAGCUAAUACCGCAUAACGUCGCAAGACCAAAGAGGGGGACCUUCGGGCCUCUUGCCAUCAGAUGUGCCCAGAUGGGAUUAGCUAGUAGGUGGGGUAACGGCUCACCUAGGCGACGAUCCCUAGCUGGUCUGAGAGGAUGACCAGCCACACUGGAACUGAGACACGGUCCAG